This 1646-nucleotide long non-coding RNA is filed under the name Ornithorhynchus anatinus (platypus). RNAcentral describes it as "lncRNA (ENSOANG00000037803.1)". Lineage: Eukaryota; Metazoa; Chordata; Mammalia; Monotremata; Ornithorhynchidae. The record is from RNAcentral.
CCUGAAUCGAGUGCCUUACUCGCACCUAAACUGAAAGCCCAGUUCGACACGUACAUUAAAAUGAAAGGUCCAGCCUGCCCAGAAAGUGGUUUUGCUUGUUUGUUUUUUUCAAUGAGCCCAGGGCAGGCCUGGUAAGUAGGGUUACUAGUGACAACACUUGUCCACACCAGACACCCAGACGCACGUCACCUUAAACGCAUGUGAGCCGGGCACACGGUGAAGUGUCAUGACCUCAUACAGAACACUUGGUGGAACCUAAAGCAUUUCUCCAGAGGACCCCCUGAUCAGUCCCCCUGGUUCCUCUGAACACGGGCACCCCUUCCUAGCCUUGAAGCUCAACAGCGGGAUCCAGGCCGGAAGGAGGUCGGGGGCUUAAAAUACAAAAUACCAGAGACGGAGACGCCCAGUGUGGCGUCUGUAUCUGACAGGGAACAGACCGGCUCAAAACCAGCCUGAAAGGCCACCCUACUAGGAAGUGGCCCCUUUAAAUCGCUGCUCUCUGCCUCCAGAGCAGAUAUGUGCACUCUGCUGCCAGCAGCAGCCAGCAAACAAAAACAAAUACUCAUUGAAGAGGGGGAGGAAGAGACUAAAAUGCAGAUUUGAAAUGUUCUGCUUCCUCAGCUCAGCUGAAACCGGAGCCAAAACGAAGGGGAAAGCUCCUGGAUCAGGGAAGAGCCAAAUGGACCGGUCAAACGCCACUCGACACUGAUACGGGAACAAAAACUCAGGCAGAAUUUGGGGAUAAGAAAAAAGCUGACGUUAUAUAAGAAGAGAGGCCCUAUCCGACCCAUGUGGGAUUUUGAAAGACAAAAUGUAAGGUCCUGCUCCUUUGUUGUUCACAGUUUGUAGAGCUCAGCAUAAGAACAAGGAUGCUAAUCCACAGAGCAAAUUAGUGUACUUCACUUUAAUGCCAUUAGACACAUUUAAAUUCCAUUCGAGGGCUUCCAGAGUUCAUUUAUCCACUUCCCAAAUGGCUGGAUAAUUCGGGACAAGAGGAAUCUUUUCUGAAAAAAAAAUCAAGCACUGGAAUGGCAGUAUUCCAGCAGAUCAGAAUCUAAGUGCACAAAGGAGCUAAAUGGCUAUGCGAGUGAAAAACGCAUUGCCAUUUGCCUCUUAGUUCUGACUGAAAAUAAACACGUCAGAACAUAAAAAAGAUCUAUCUGGUUUCCUGAUGAUGAAACCUCUUUAAAAAGGAGACAUCUCCUGAAUAUUCAAAACAAUUCAUACCAUAAUAUGUUGACGAUGACGAUUUAUACCAAAAAUAAAUAAAAUUCCUAAAAUCUCCUAAGAAACCUUCUACUCCCAAAAGCCUACCCCCAAAGAAUUCUCAGUAACCUAGGUACAUCAACUUAAAACCCACUCCCGGCACUUCUGUAUAAGCCUUAGCUCUUAUUUACACUAACUCUCUUCCCCUCUUCAAAGACCAGUGCUUAGAACAGUGCUUUGCACAUAGUAAGUGCUUAACAAAUGCCUUCAUUAUUAUUACUGAGAGCUCACCUCCUCCAGGAGGCCUUCCCAGACUGAGCCCUCCCUUUCCCUCCGCCCCUCCUCCCUCCCUCUAAUCUACCCCUUUCCGCUCCCCAUAGCACUUGUGUAUAUUUGUAUAUAUUAUUACUCUAUUUUAUUAAUGAUGUGCAUAUAUCUAU